Molecule: small nuclear RNA, 96 nt
Filed under: Zalophus californianus (California sea lion)
Lineage: Eukaryota; Metazoa; Chordata; Mammalia; Carnivora; Otariidae
Source: RNAcentral
UACAUAUACGUUUGUAUUCUGUACAAAGCACAGAGAAGCUUAGCAUGGCCCCUUCACAAGGAUGACAUGCAACUUCAUGAAGCAUUCCAUAUUUUC